This 457-nucleotide ribosomal RNA is filed under the name Fejervarya limnocharis (Boie's wart frog). RNAcentral's name for it is "partial small subunit ribosomal RNA". Lineage: Eukaryota; Metazoa; Chordata; Amphibia; Anura; Dicroglossidae. The record is from RNAcentral.
AACUGUUAAAGAUGAACCCUAAAAAGUUCUAAAAGCACAAAGAUUUGGUCCUGGUCUUAUUGUCAGUUAUCUCUUGAUUUACACAUGCAAGUCUCAGCACACCAGUGAGGACGCCCUUACCCCUUCUAUAGGACAAGGAGCUGAUAUCAGGCACUUCCACCGCCCAUAACAUCUAGUCCGACCACACCCCCAAGGGUAUUCAGCAGUGAUAAACAUUGUUUAUAAGCGACAGCUUGACUCAGUCAAAGAGAAGAGGGCCGGCCAACCCGGUGCCAGCCGCCGCGGCUAAACCCUAGGGCCCAAAUUGAUAAUACUCGGCGUCAAUCGUGAUUAAAGCUUUCUAAAAUUAGAGUAGAACCUAUUAUUAAGCUGUGAAAAGCAAUUUUUUUAGGGAAAAUCAGAAACGAAAGUUACUCUAAUAUACACUUGAACACACGACAACUGGGAAACAAACUGG